Molecule: ribosomal RNA, 441 nt
Filed under: uncultured bacterium
Lineage: Bacteria
Description: partial 16S ribosomal RNA
Rfam family: Bacterial small subunit ribosomal RNA
Source: RNAcentral
CUUACGGGAGGCAGCAGUGGGGAAUAUUGCACAAUGGGGGAAACCCUGAUGCAGCAACGCCGCGUGAGUGAGGAAGUAUUUCGGUAUGUAAAGCUCUAUCAGCAGGGAAUCGAAACGAAGGUACCUGAAAAAGAAGCCCCGGCUAACUACGUGCCAGCCGCCGCGGUAAUACGUAGGGGGCAAGCGUUAUCCGGAUUUACUGGGGGUAUAGGGCGUGUAGCCGGGCUGACAAGUCAGAUGUUAAAUCCGGGGGCUCAACCCGCGAACUGCAGUUGAAACGGUUGGUCUUGAGUAGCGGAGAGGCAGGCGGAAGUCCUAGUGUAGCGGUGAAAGGCGUAGAUAUUAGGAGGAACACCAGUGGCGAAGGCGGCCUGCUGGACGACAACUGACGGUGAGGCGCGAAAGCGUGGGGAGCAAACAGGAUUAGAUACCCCGGUAGUC